This is a non-coding RNA of Cinara cedri, 304 nucleotides long. Lineage: Eukaryota; Metazoa; Arthropoda; Insecta; Hemiptera; Aphididae. The record is from the annotation of a GenBank genome assembly.
CAAGAUAAUACUAACUAUAAUUAGGUGAUAAAUAAUCAAUUAUACAAUAUUUGUGAUAUAAAUUUUAUAGCGAUCACUUGAACCACUAUAAAACCAACAAUCAUAAGUACAGCGAUCAGUUCAAAAUGUUUUACCCUAUGGUUACGUCCUAGUAGGCAAGGUUAAAAAAAAAGUAAAUCUACUCAGAUUUGCAUUCGAUCAAAAAAGUGUAAUUAACACGAUACGAAACGACACGCUGAAUAUAGAAAUCCAUUAAUAACAAAAUUCAUAUUUAAUCAUCUAACAUUUUAAAUUUAGACUAGUU